Molecule: ribosomal RNA, 439 nt
Filed under: uncultured bacterium
Lineage: Bacteria
Description: partial 16S ribosomal RNA
Rfam family: Bacterial small subunit ribosomal RNA
Source: RNAcentral
CUACGGGAGGCUGCAGUGAGGAAUAUUGCACAAUGGGGGGAACCCUGAUGCAGCAACGCCGCGUGGAGGAUGACGCAUUUCGGUGUGUAAACUCCUUUUAUAUGUCAAGAAAAUGACGGUAGCAUAUGAAUAAGCACCGGCUAACUCCGUGCCAGCAGCCGCGGUAAUACGGAGGGUGCAAGCGUUACUCGGAAUCACUGGGCGUAAAGGACGCGUAGGCGGGUUGGAAAGUCGGGUGUGAAAUCCUACAGCUUAACUGUAGAACUGCACUUGAAACUUCUAAUCUAGAGUAUGGGAGGGGGAGAUGGAAUUAAUGGUGUAGGGGUAAAAUCCGUAGAUAUCACUAGGAAUACCUAAAGCGAAGGCGAUCUCCUGGAACAUUACUGACGCUAAGGCGUGAAAGCGUGGGGAGCAAACAGGAUUAGAUACCCUUGUAGUC